AGAAUCAACGCUGGCGGCGUGCCUAACACAUGCAAGUCGAACGAGAAAGUGGAGCAAUCCAUGAGUAAAGUGGCGCACGGGUGAGUAACACGUGACUAACCUACCCUUGAGUGGGGGAUAACCUCGGGAAACCGGGGCUAAUACCGCAUAACAUCGAGAGAUCAAAGGAGCAAUUCGCUUAAGGAGGGGGUCGCGGCUGAUUAGCUAGUUGGUGAGGUAAUGGCUCACCAAGGCUAUGAUCAGUAUCCGGCCUGAGAGGGCGCACGGACACACUGGAACUGAAACACGGUCCAGACUCCUACGGGAGGCAGCAGUGGGGAAUUUUGCGCAAUGGGGGAAACCCUGACGCAGCAACGCCGCGUGGAGGAUGAAGUCCCUUGGGACGUAAACUCCUUUCGAUCGGGACGAUAAUGACGGUACCGGAAGAAGAAGCCCCGGCUAACUUCGCGCCAGCAGCCGC
Molecule: ribosomal RNA, 460 nt
Filed under: uncultured bacterium
Lineage: Bacteria
Description: SSU rRNA
Rfam family: Bacterial small subunit ribosomal RNA
Source: RNAcentral